This 700-nucleotide ribosomal RNA is filed under the name Halomonas sp. RNAcentral's name for it is "bacterial SSU rRNA". It matches the Rfam family "Bacterial small subunit ribosomal RNA", at positions 54 to 752 of the family's 1533-position model. Lineage: Bacteria; Pseudomonadati; Pseudomonadota; Gammaproteobacteria; Oceanospirillales; Halomonadaceae. The record is from RNAcentral.
CAUGCAGUCGAGCGGUAACAGGGGUAGCUUGCUACCCGCUGACGAGCGGCGGACGGGUGAGUAAUGCAUAGGAAUCUGCCCGAUAGUGGGGGAUAACCUGGGGAAACCCAGGCUAAUACCGCAUACGUCCUACGGGAGAAAGGGGGCUUCGGCUCCCGCUAUUGGAUGAGCCUAUGUCGGAUUAGCUAGUUGGUGAGGUAAAGGCUCACCAAGGCGACGAUCCGUAGCUGGUCUGAGAGGAUGAUCAGCCACAUCGGGACUGAGACACGGCCCGAACUCCUACGGGAGGCAGCAGUGGGGAAUAUUGGACAAUGGGCGAAAGCCUGAUCCAGCCAUGCCGCGUGUGUGAAGAAGGCCCUCGGGUUGUAAAGCACUUUCAGCGAGGAAGAACGCCUAGUGGUUAAUACCCAUUAGGAAAGACAUCACUCGCAGAAGAAGCACCGGCUAACUCCGUGCCAGCAGCCGCGGUAAUACGGAGGGUGCAAGCGUUAAUCGGAAUUACUGGGCGUAAAGCGCGCGUAGGUGGCUUGAUAAGCCGGUUGUGAAAGCCCCGGGCUCAACCUGGGAACGGCAUCCGGAACUGUCAAGCUAGAGUGCAGGAGAGGAAGGUAGAAUUCCCGGUGUAGCGGUGAAAUGCGUAGAGAUCGGGAGGAAUACCAGUGGCGAAGGCGGCCUUCUGGACUGACACUGACACUGAGGU